AAAUGGUUAUAACAAAAGAUGAGACGCAUGGAAAAUUCAUUCAUGUCAAAAAAAUGCUGCUAGCUAAAAUUACCGACACUUUUAAAAAAUGUUGCUAUAUGUGGGGUCGCUAGAUAUAUAGUGACAGUUAAAGAGUGUCGCUAUAACCUAAAAGAGUGCUGCUAAUUUACCAAUACUUAUUUAAGUAUUUAGCAACCGCCGAAACUCUAUCUCAUUGGCUGCAGUGGCGGAGGAGGACGACAGGAAAGGCUCUUCGUCUAGAAUUUUAGUGGAUUGAGUGAACAGAGAAGAAAAGAUGGUAAUUAAUUUUUCUUUUUUUUUUCUUUUCUGUUUGUAAUUGGGCCAAAUGGACUGGGUGUGAUGGGUUGAGUAGAGUAAUCUUUUAUUUUUGAUUGGUUCGGGCUUUAUAUUUAGGCAUUAGUAGACAUUUUUUUAAGUUUUAGGAUAAAUGAGACACUUACUCAAAAGUGUCCCAAACAUGUGUCCGUAUAACCUAAUUCUGUUGUAGUGAAAGGACUUAGUGGUUGGUAUCCGAGACCCAAGUUUGAAUUCUAGUUGAUUCACAUUUUCAGCCAAAUUUAUUUCUAAAUGAAAUAAACGAAGCGGAUAGCGUGCUACCUAUCUCUCUCAAAAAAUGUGAAACUGUGAAAUUAAAUGG
RNAcentral lists this long non-coding RNA (658 nucleotides) under Ananas comosus (pineapple). RNAcentral describes it as "long non-coding RNA (ACOM_LNC031089)". The record is from RNAcentral. Lineage: Eukaryota; Viridiplantae; Streptophyta; Magnoliopsida; Poales; Bromeliaceae.